RNAcentral lists this ribosomal RNA (254 nucleotides) under uncultured bacterium. RNAcentral describes it as "partial 16S ribosomal RNA". It matches the Rfam family "Bacterial small subunit ribosomal RNA", at positions 524 to 776 of the family's 1533-position model. The record is from RNAcentral.
UACGUAGGGUGCAAGCGUUGUCCGGAAUUAUUGGGCGUAAAGAGCUCGUAGGCGGUCUGUCGCGUCGGCUGUGAAAACCUGAGGCUCAACCUCAGGCCUGCAGUCGAUACGGGCAGACUAGAGUUCGGUAGGGGAGACUGGAAUUCCUGGUGGUAGCGGUGAAAUGCGCAGAUAUCAGGAGGAACACCGGUGGCGAAGGCGGGUCUCUGGGCCGAAACUGACGCUGAGGAGCGAAAGCGUGGGGAGCGAACAGG